GUUGGAGACUACAGCUGUUGCCUUGGUGAGACAACAUUUCUUGUUCAAGUAAUGUUGACAACUUUGCCAGUUCCUUCUGUCGACGUCACGUUCGGGAAGAGCUCGGAAUUUGUCUCAGGAACAAAUUGCUAUUGGGGGAAAAUAAAAUACUAUUGGGAACUACGGGAAGUAUUGCAGAGUUUGAGGCUUUAUUCAGGCUGAAACUGCAUUGAAGUACAGUACUCCGGAUGCAACGCUUUUUCUUCUCUGUGCACCUUCAAUCAACAUCUGCAAAUACCCAAUUUAUUUAAUACCCGUUUCUCCAAGCAACAACUGUGAAGUAUGGAUCGCAUUAAUUUAAAAUUUGUAUGAUCUCACUACGGUUAGUGCUGAAAUCUUGGUACAUAACACGGAACUCCAAAAAGGUUCCUCGGAAGGAAAUAGCCGAGGAUAAAGAAACUCAGUUGAAAAUCAAAUCUGAUCACUGGCGUACAAGCUUUUACUGAAGCAAACGCCG
This 496-nucleotide long non-coding RNA is filed under the name Lepisosteus oculatus (spotted gar). RNAcentral describes it as "lncRNA (ENSLOCG00000022646.1)". The record is from RNAcentral. Lineage: Eukaryota; Metazoa; Chordata; Actinopteri; Semionotiformes; Lepisosteidae.